This is a non-coding RNA of Paramisgurnus dabryanus, 585 nucleotides long. NCBI's taxonomy places the organism in Eukaryota, Metazoa, Chordata, Actinopteri, Cypriniformes, Cobitidae. The record is from RefSeq and is a predicted model, not a curated record.
CAGGGCUUUAAGUCUAAAAUACCGAACUUGUCCUUUAAAGCAUCUUUAAACUUUAAAAACAUGUUGUUUGUCGUGACUCUACAUUGUAAUACUCACCCGGUUACAGUAAUUUGUGUAAUGUUGGACAUACGAUGAAACAACACGACAUUGAUACAGCAAUUUGACCUCACAAACAUUUUAAUCAGCAGAUUAGUGUGCUUUGAGUACACCACAGUUCUGUAAGUGAAAAAUUAAUUCAUAUUUAUGUGUGUUUCUUUCUCAGUAAGGACUAACUUUAACUGACUUUCUGUCUGUCUGUCUGUUCUCAACCAAACGGUCAUUCAAGACCUUUUAAAGCAAAAACAUUUCCCGUGCAAGUUUGAAUCUCUCUCAGUAAGGACGUAUUGACUGGCUGUCUGUUCUCGACCAAACGGUCAUUCUUACUCAUAAAAAACUUUUAAAGCACAAGUGUGUCCCGCGCAAGUUUGAAUUUCUCUCAGUAAGGACUGACGGACGGCCAUUCACUCAUAAAAGCUUUUAAAGCACAAGUGUUUCCCGCGCAAAUUAGAAUUUCUCUCAGUAACGACUGACGGAUGGCCAUUCACU